UACGUAGGGAGCAAGCGUUGUCCGGAAUCAUUGGGCGUAAAGCGCGCGUAGGUGGCUUCGUAAGUCCGGUGUGAAAGUCACAGGCUCAACCUGUGAAUGCCGCUGGAAACUGUCUGGCUAGAGUCCGGAAGGGGCGAGUGGAAUUCCUGGUGUAGCGGUGAAAUGCGCAGAUAUCAGGAGGAACACCAAUGGCGAAGGCAGCUCGCUGGAACGGUACUGACGCUGAGGCGCGAAAGCGUGGGGAGCGAACAGG
RNAcentral lists this ribosomal RNA (253 nucleotides) under uncultured bacterium. Its description in RNAcentral is "partial 16S ribosomal RNA". It matches the Rfam family "Bacterial small subunit ribosomal RNA", at positions 524 to 776 of the family's 1533-position model. The record is from RNAcentral.